GAUGAACGCUGGCGGCGUGCUUAACACAUGCAAGUCGAACGGGAAACCUUUUAUUGAAGCUUCGGCAGAUUUAGCUGGUUUCUAGUGGCGGACGGGUGAGUAACGCGUGGGUAACCUGCCUUAUACAGGGGGAUAACAGUCAGAAAUGGCUGCUAAUACCGCAUAAGCGCACAGAGCUGCAUGGCUCAGUGUGAAAAACUCCGGUGGUAUAAGAUGGACCCGCGUUGGAUUAGCUGGUUGGUGGGGUAACGGCCCACCAAGGCGACGAUCCAUAGCCGGCCCGAGAGGGUGAACGGCCACAUUGGGACUGAGACACGGCCCAGACUCCUACGGGAGGCAGCAGUGGGGAAUAUUGCACAAUGGGGGAAACCCUGAUGCAGCGACGCCGCGUGAAGGAAGAAGUAUCUCGGUAUGUAAACUUCUAUCAGCAGGGAAGAUAAUGACGGUACCUGACUAAGAAGCCCCGGCUAACUACGUG
This 478-nucleotide ribosomal RNA is filed under the name uncultured bacterium. Its description in RNAcentral is "partial 16S ribosomal RNA". It matches the Rfam family "Bacterial small subunit ribosomal RNA", at positions 28 to 507 of the family's 1533-position model. The record is from RNAcentral.